Molecule: ribosomal RNA, 520 nt
Filed under: uncultured bacterium
Lineage: Bacteria
Description: partial 16S ribosomal RNA
Source: RNAcentral
GGUUACCUUGUUACGACUUCACCCUAAUUACCAGUCCUACCUUCGGCCGCGCCCUCCUUGCGGUUCGGCUACGGACUUCGGGUAUUACCGGCUCUCAUGGUGUGACGGGCGGUGUGUACAAGGCCCGGGAACGUAUUCACCGCGGCAUGCUGAUCCGCGAUUACUAGCAAUUCCGACUUCAUGCAGGCGGGUUGCAGCCUGCAAUCUGAACUGGGACAGCUUUUAGGGGUUUGCUCCAUGUCACCAUAUUGCUUCCCUCUGUAUGACUGCCAUUGUAGUACGUGUGUAGCCCAGGUCAUAAGGGGCAUGAUGAUUUGACGUCGUCCCCACCUUCCUCCGUUUUGUCAACGGCAGUCCGGCUAGAGUGAUCAACCGAAUGUAUCAACUAACCGUAAGGGUUGCGCUCGUUGCGGGACUUAACCCAACAUCUCACGACACGAGCUGACGACAACCAUGCACCACCUGUCACCGAUGCCCCGAAGGGAAACCCUAUCUCUAGGGCGGUCAUCGGGAUGUCAAG